UUCCGGUUGAUCCCGCCGGAGGCCAUUGCUGUCGGAGUCCGAUUUAGCCAUGCUAGUCGUGCGAGUUUAGACUCGCGGCACCGAGCUCAGUAACACGUGGCCAAACUACCCUGUAGAGACGUAUAACCUCGGGAAACUGAGGCUAAUCCGUCAUACCGGUUGAACGGUUGAAACCCAUCAACCUCUAAACGCCCCGGCGCUACAGGAUGUGGCUGCGGCCGAUUAGGUUGACGGUGGGGUAACGGCCCACCGUGCCAAUAAUCGGAACAGGUUGUGAGAGCAAGAACCUGGAGACGGCAUCUGAGACAAGAUGCCGGGCCCUACGGGGCGCAGCAGGCGCGAAACCUUUACACUGCACGCACGUGCGAUAAGGGGACUCCGAGUGCGAGGGCAUAUCGUCCUCGCUUUUGUGUACCGUAGGGUGGUACACGAACAAGGGCUGGGCAAGACCGGUGCCAGCCGCCGCGGUAAUACCGGCAGCCCGAGUGAUGGCCGAUCUUAUUGGGCCUAAAGCGUCCGUAGCUGGGUCUGAAAGUCCAUCGGGAAAUCCACUCGCUCAACGAGUGGUCGUCCGGUGGAAACUCCACACCUUGGGACCGGAAGGCUCGAAGGGUACGGCCGGGGUAGGAGUGAAAUCCUGUAAUCCCGUCCGGACCACCGAUGGCGAAAGCACUUCGAGAGAACGGAUCCGACAGUGAGGGACGAAAGCUAAGAUCGCGAACCGGAUUAGAUACCCGGGUAGUCUUAGCCGUAAACAAUGUUCGUUAGGUAUGACACAG
This 779-nucleotide ribosomal RNA is filed under the name uncultured archaeon. Its description in RNAcentral is "bacterial SSU rRNA". It matches the Rfam family "Archaeal small subunit ribosomal RNA", at positions 1 to 781 of the family's 1478-position model. The record is from RNAcentral.